CUACUCAAGCCUGAGCAAUGGCGGGUGCCCCUCCCCCAGCCUCGCUGCCGCCUUGCAGUUUGAUCUCAGACUGCUGUGCUAGCAAUGAGCGAGGCUCUGUGGGUGUAGGACCCUCUGAGCCAGGCGCAGGAUAUAAUCUCAUGGUGUGCCAUUUGCUAAGACCGUGGAAAAGUGCAGUAGUUUAUACUGAAUUUGUUUUCUGGAAUCCAGCCCUGAUCCUGUCACACACACCUGUGCAAAAGCUUUUAAUCGCUUCCCUAUGGAAUCUGAAUUAUCCCAGGAUUUAGGGUUUUCCCACAGUAUGUUCUCAAAUUAAAUUUUCCUGGCUUCUCUCUCAUUAUUUCCCCAAAUAUAAAGAAAAUCUCAGGAGAUAGAGACCAUCCUGGGCAACAUGGGGAAACCCUGUCUUUACUAAAAAUAGAAAAAUUAGCUGGGUGUGGUGUCACGUGCCUGUAAUCCCAGCUACUCGGGAGGCUGAGGCAGGAGAAUUGCUUGAACCAGGGAGUCGGAGGUUGCAGUGAUCCGAGAUCAUGACGCUGUACUCCAGCCUGGUGACAGAGCAAGAUUCCAUCAAAAAAAAAAAAAAAAAGCAUCAACAACUUCCAUUUCCUUAUUUCUU
This 619-nucleotide long non-coding RNA is filed under the name Pan troglodytes (chimpanzee). RNAcentral describes it as "long non-coding RNA NONPTRT014719". The record is from RNAcentral. Lineage: Eukaryota; Metazoa; Chordata; Mammalia; Primates; Hominidae.